GCAAUAAUUUAUGAGAAAGAAACUUACAACUACAUUACCUUUUCAGACAGGUGCUCUAGUUCACAGCUAUAGGGGAACAGGUGGAAUAUUUGAAGUUUGC
Molecule: small RNA, 100 nt
Filed under: Pan troglodytes (chimpanzee)
Lineage: Eukaryota; Metazoa; Chordata; Mammalia; Primates; Hominidae
Also listed under: 1 other name
Description: processed transcript
Source: RNAcentral